GACGAACGCUGGCGGCGUGCUUAACACAUGCAAGUCGAACGGAAAGGCCCUGCUUUUGUGGGGUGCUCGAGUGGCGAACGGGUGAGUAACACGUGAGUAACCUCCCCUUUACUUUGGGAUAACUUCAGGAAACUGGGGCUAAUACCGGAUAGGAGCUCCUGCUGCAUGGUAGGGGUUGGAAAGUUUCGGCGGUAGGGGCUGGACUCGCGGGUUAUCAGCUUGUUGGUGGGGUAGUGGCUUACCAAGGCUUUGACGGGUAGCCGGCCUGAGAGGGUGACCGGCGACAUUGGGACUGAGAUACGGCCCAGACUCCUACGGGAGGCAGCGGUGGGGAAUAUUGCACAAUGGGCGGAAGCCUGAUGCAGCAACGCCGCGUGCGGGAUGACGGCUUUCGGGUGGUAAACCGCUUUCGCCUGUGACGAAGCGUGAGUGACGGUAAUGGGUAAAGAAGCACCGGCUAACUACGUG
This 468-nucleotide ribosomal RNA is filed under the name uncultured bacterium. RNAcentral describes it as "partial 16S ribosomal RNA". It matches the Rfam family "Bacterial small subunit ribosomal RNA", at positions 28 to 507 of the family's 1533-position model. The record is from RNAcentral.